RNAcentral lists this long non-coding RNA (341 nucleotides) under Triticum aestivum (bread wheat). RNAcentral's name for it is "long non-coding RNA (TAES_LNC018888)". Lineage: Eukaryota; Viridiplantae; Streptophyta; Magnoliopsida; Poales; Poaceae. The record is from RNAcentral.
CCAAUCUCAUCAUCCUUCUCUCUGGCUGCCACUUGCAGCUCCUGUAUGUUCUGCUGAAGCUUUUGUGCUGCUUCAGUAGCUUUUGCUGCCUCCACUUCUUUUAACUUGUUUAUCUCUGCUCGUAAGUCUCUUGCGAUGUCCUCGUGAGCAGAAUUGUUUUGUAUGCUCUACAUGACUUGCAGCUUCCUUCAGUUACAUCUACAGUGUUGAGAACAGCCAUGCACGCAAAACAUGAUUACAUGCACAAGCUAGAUUGAAUACUUUUGAUCUACAGAAAUAAUGUUUCUGUAAAUACCUCUGGUCCUGCAAAGAAAAGAGCUACACAUGUAAUGGAAUCCUCC